UCGAGAAUCUUCGGCAAUGGGCGCAAGCCUGACCGAGCGACACCGCGUGCGGGAUGAAGGCCUUCGGGUUGUAAACCGCUGUCGUAGGGGAGGAAGGUCUGGUGUAUAGCCAGGCUUGACCGAUCCUAGGAGGAAGGGCCGGCUAAUCUCGUGCCAGCAGCCGCGGUAAUACGAGAGGCCCAAACGUUAUUCGGAUUUACUGGGCUUAAAGAGUUCGUAGGCGGCGCGGAAAGUAGGGUGUGAAAGCCCUCGGCUCAACCGAGGAACUGCGCUCUAAACUGCCGUGCUUGAGGAACCUAGAGGUGAGCGGAACUGAUGGUGGAGCGGUGAAAUGCGUUGAUAUCAUCAGGAACACCGGAGGCGAAGGCGGCUCACUGGGGGUUAUCUGACGCUGAGGAACGAAAGCCAGGGGAGCAAACGGGAUUAGAUACCCGGUAGUCCUGGCCGUAAACGAUGAGCACUAGGUCGUGGGCCUCCACAGGCCCUCGGCCGUAGCGAAAGUGUUAAGUG
This 510-nucleotide ribosomal RNA is filed under the name uncultured Planctomycetota bacterium. RNAcentral's name for it is "bacterial SSU rRNA". It matches the Rfam family "Bacterial small subunit ribosomal RNA", at positions 355 to 866 of the family's 1533-position model. Lineage: Bacteria; Pseudomonadati; Planctomycetota. The record is from RNAcentral.